AAUGAACGCUGGCGGCAUGCCUAAUACAUGCAAGUCGAACGAGACCAUCGGGGCUAGAGGCGCACGGGUGCGUAACGCGAGGGAACCUGCCCUUAGGUUCGGAAUAACUCCCCGACAGGGGUGCAAAUACCGGAAAAUGUCUUCGGACCAAAGAUUUAUCGCCUUUGGAUGGGCCCGCGUUGGAUUAGCUAGUUGGUAGGGUAAAAGCCUACCAAGGCGACGAUCCAUAGCUGGUCUGAGAGGAUGAUCAGCCACACUGGGACUGAGACACGGCGCAGACUCCUACGGGAGGCAGCAGUGGGGAAUAUUGGACAGUGGGCGAAAGCCUGAUCCGGCGAUGCCGCGUGAGUGAUGAAGGCCUUAGAGUUGUAAAGCUCUUUUACCCGGGAUGAUAAUGACAGUACCGGGAGAAUAAGCUCCGGCUAACUCCGUG
Molecule: ribosomal RNA, 433 nt
Filed under: uncultured bacterium
Lineage: Bacteria
Description: partial 16S ribosomal RNA
Rfam family: Bacterial small subunit ribosomal RNA
Source: RNAcentral